AGUUGAUGGUGGAGCCGUCCAGUAAGGAGGACGCCCAGCGGUUGUGGCAGAUGGAGAGAGAGCGUAUGCAGGAGACGAUGAGACAACAGAAACAACAGAUGAUGGAGGACAACAAGUGGCUGACCAAGGAGGAGAGACUCCUGUUACCAGAACCAGAGACUGGACAUGCCCCGCCAGACAAGCCCCCGCAUCUCACCGGCCCUAAAGCCCAGGCCGCCCC
This is a long non-coding RNA of Oncorhynchus masou masou (cherry salmon), 220 nucleotides long. RefSeq lists it as uncharacterized. The transcript is spliced from 3 exons. NCBI's taxonomy places the organism in Eukaryota, Metazoa, Chordata, Actinopteri, Salmoniformes, Salmonidae. The record is from RefSeq and is a predicted model, not a curated record.